Tupaia belangeri chinensis (Chinese tree shrew) is the source of this 1138-nucleotide long non-coding RNA. RefSeq lists it as uncharacterized. The record is from RefSeq and is a predicted model, not a curated record. The transcript has 4 exons. NCBI's taxonomy places the organism in Eukaryota, Metazoa, Chordata, Mammalia, Scandentia, Tupaiidae.
GAUAUGGAACAUAAGGUGAAAAUAAAUUUAAAAUAAUGGAAAAGUAAAACAAAGAGAAAAUAAAGACAACCAGGUGUCAUAUGUGACAUAAUAUAUCCUCUGCGCAAAUGCCACAAAGUCUUCUGCCCAUCAAUAUGAAAAGGAAAGCACGGUCAUUAUACAUUAGGUAAAAAUAAACGGACCGCUCAAGAGUACAGCUACUUCUAAUACUACUAAUAAAAUGGAAAGAAAUUCUCUCAUAAGUGGUAAGAAAAAGAGUAAGGCACUGAGUCGUGACCACCACCAACAUCCAACAGUGAACUCAGCAUUGACAUCCACAGAUCAUGUCCCAUCAAGCCACCUCAGCACUACUGUUAUGACAUCAGGCAGGACAGUUCCAUAAGAGGAACUCUCCAGAAAACAGAAGGACCUGUGUUAACCCAAGAACACACAGACUCUGAACUAAAGGACAGAUCAAUGCCACGCCUCUCCAGAAGCAAAGAGGGAGGGAGACCACGGACAUGGUGGUGCUUAAAAACAACGGGUAUUCUUCAUUCCUCCUAGCUGAUCACCAACUGCCGUGAAUGAGAUGUGCUAGGGAAGACAUACCAUCGUCCCUCGGGCUGCAGACCCAAGGGGAAGGGUUCUGAGGGCUGACGCUGCAAAUGUCUCCAUAAGGCCACUAACCAAAAAAAAAGAAAACAAAAAAAAACACAAAAACAAUUCUACAAUUCUCUCAGCUGGUGCCACAAUAUGGAAAGAAGUAAAAUGAAAAGUCACAGGACUGGAGAAGACAUUUGCAAAUCACAUAUGACACUGAGUGCUCCUCAUCCAAAAGACUUAGGACCAGAAGUUGUUUUAGAUUUUGGAUUUUUUUUUGAUUUUGGAAUAUCUGCAUAUGCAUUAAUGAGAUAUCCAGGGGACAGUUCCCAAAUCUAAACAUGAAAUUCAUUAUGUUUCACUUAAUUCUUACAUGCCUGGGUUGAAGGUAAUUUUAUACAGUAUUUUUAUACUACAGUAUUUGAUUGCAACAUCACAUGAAGUCAAGUGUGAGAUUUUCCACUUGUAGUGUCAUGUGAAACCUCCAAAAGUUGCUGAUUAGGCAGUAUUCAGAUUUUGGAUUUUCAGGUAGGAAUGGUCAAACGGUAUCUGAUUUAGA